This 627-nucleotide ribosomal RNA is filed under the name Halocafeteria sp. H3. RNAcentral's name for it is "bacterial SSU rRNA". It matches the Rfam family "Eukaryotic small subunit ribosomal RNA", at positions 616 to 1253 of the family's 1831-position model. Lineage: Eukaryota; Bigyra; Bicosoecida. The record is from RNAcentral.
CAGUUAAAAAGCUCGUAGUUGAAUUUCUGGAAAGUUCAUGCUGGCUGGUGUUGACCGGCCAUGUAUGUUCUUUCCAUUCUCACGGGGAAGGCCCAUCGUUAGUAAUAGCGUGGUGUCCGGAACCGUGUCAUUUACUGUGAAAAAAUUAGAGUGUUUAAAGCAGGCGUUUACGCUUGAAUACAUUAGCAUGGAAUAAUAAGAUAGGACUUCGGUCUAUUUUGUUGGUUGCGGCUCGAGGUAAUGAUUAAUAGGGAUAGUUGGGGGUAUUCAUAUUUAAUUGUCAGAGGUGAAAUUCUUGGAUUUAUUAAAGAUGAACGACUGCGAAAGCAUUUACCAAGGAUGUUUUCAUUAAUCAAGAACGAAAGUCAGGGGAUCGAAGAGGAUUAGAUACCCUCGUAGUCUUGACCAUAAACUAUGCCGACUCAGGAUUGGCAGACGUUGUUUCCGACUCUGCCAGCACUGUAUGAAAAAUCAAAGUCUUUGGGUUCCGGGGGGAGUAUGGUCGCAAGGCUGAAACUUAAAGGAAUUGACGGAAGGGCACCACCAGGAGUGGAGCCUGCGGCUUAAUUUGACUCAACACGGGGAAACUUACCAGGUCCAGACAUAGUAAGGAUUGACAGAUUGAGA